RNAcentral lists this long non-coding RNA (3364 nucleotides) under Sus scrofa (pig). Its description in RNAcentral is "lncRNA (ENSSSCG00000052852.1)". The record is from RNAcentral. Lineage: Eukaryota; Metazoa; Chordata; Mammalia; Artiodactyla; Suidae.
CAGAGCUAACCGAAUGGAAGAGAAAAUGCUAUCACACUAGCUGUUGCCUUAUAUUUCACUAUCAUCAUAUGACCCCUUAUAACAGUGUGACACAUGGUAUUUCAAACCACAUUUCCAGUACAAACUGGAAACAAAACAACUUGUGAGUGAAGUUCAAUAAAUAUUCUUGUACACUCAUAGCUAAAAGUCAAAAAAUUUAAAGAAAAUCUUUGACAAAAUCCUUAGAGGAAUAUGGCUAUUCAGACGUGGCUAUUGUGUGCACAUUAUCAACACUAGAAACCCAGAGACAUGGAUAGCAAAAGUUAUAAAGAGGAUAAAAGACAAUAUCUGUGGAAUGUGGGGAAUUCUUAUGUAAACUAGGUUGACUUUCAUAUGUAUCAUCCAAAAAUGCACAUAGGCCUACAUUAGCAUUUCAAUGGUUAAAAAUUGGAAAUAUUCCAAAUAUCUGUCAGCCUAAUUGUCUUAAUUGUUUAUAUACAUAUGCGUGUAAAUAUCCAUCAUUAGAUGAAUUCCAUAAACUUAAAGCUGAGCAAUUGCAAAAGUAUUCUUAAAGAAUAUAUAGUAUUGUUUAGAGAUAUUUAUAUGUGUAGGAAGAGCACGGGACUUAUAAUUACAGAAAAUGUGGCUAGUAACCUGAGGGGAUGAGAGAAUGAGGGAAUGAGGGGAUGAUGUAGUUUGGAAACAUAGCUCAGCAGGUUUCAAUUUUAUUGAUUAAAUUCCUUUUUUAAGCUGGAUUGUAAGGACAUAGGAGUUCACUUUAUUAUUUUUUAUGUCUUUCUUUGUCUUUCUUAUGUUUUCGGUAUUAUACAAUAAACAAAUAAAUUAUUCAGUCCAUCCCUGAGAAAAUCUUGGAGGUCUUCUAGUAGCUCAUUUAAUUUUCAUAGUCAUUGGUUGUGUUUUGGAGCCAACUUUCUAAUGUAAGAUAAAAAAAAGAAAAUGCCAAAUUAUAUUUUCUAUCAAGUGAUUAAAAUUGCCUUUUUGGGGAGAUUUCCUGCUGUGGCUCAGUGUUAAGGAACCAGACUAGUAUCCAUGAGGACAUGGGUCCAAUCUCUGGCCUGGCUCAUGGGUUAGGGAUACAGCAUUACCACAAGCUGUGGUGUAGGUCACAGAUGUGGCUCAGAUCUGGCAUUACUGUGUAGGCUGAAAUUGCAGUUCUGAUUUGACCCCUAGCCCAGAAACUGCCAUAUGUUGCCGACUCGGCCCUUUAAAGACAAAUAAAUAAAUAAAUAAAAUUUCCUUUUUUGGACAUACAUGUAAAAUAAAUGAACUGCACAUUUGAUAAAUGAUUUGUUGGUAUAAAAUUGUCAUAAACUAUAAUUUUAAAGACCUUGUCCUCAUUUUGUAAGAAGUAAAGAAAAAUCUUGAUUUUUUUUUUUAAAAAGUACAUAAGGUUAUUUUGACUCUCCAGUCCUAAGAGUCUUUAUAUUAGUGACCUCAGAAUAUUUCUUCUGAAAGUAACCACUCAUCCAUGCUCCCCCAAAACCCUCUACUCCAAUCCUGAGGUUGAAGGGAGUGAUGAGCAGUUUUUAUAAUUGUUGAAAAUAGAAGAUAGUGGAAUUAAAUAGUGCUUAUUAUGAUGAUGCAAACAAAGUGUUUGUUCAAUUAAUAUUGAUGACUGAAAAGUACUGUGAGGGAGUAGAGUAAACAAGGCCUGGGAGGGUCUAAUGGCUGGGAGGGAAAAAAAAACAUUAGGUUUUGCUGUUAGUGGUUCCAUCGGUGUCAUUGGGCCAUUAUUGCAAGUGUUUUUCCACAGCAACCCUUUCUGGAGCAAACUUAGGCCUAUCUCAACAACAUUAACAUGACCACAAUUCCACUCCCCAAACCCUGAUUAUCAGGGAGAGCUUUCUAAAGGGGUUUUUACAGAAGAGGUUUCAAAGACAUAACUGCAAUAUAGCUGAGCAUAUUGGAAAUGAUUAUUUCAAAGAUCAUUAUUUUAUUUUGGAUUCAGGCAAACUAGCUAAUAAAUAGGGUGCAAACUAAGUUUUCUGGUAAUUUUAAGAAUCUUGUUAAAGUAAAAUUACCUUGCCUCAUAUACACACUCUGUGUGGCUUGUCAGCUUUGAGGGGAUUUUACUCAACUAUUCACUCUGUUCAAUAUAUUAAUCUUUUUCUCAUGAUACAAGUCACCUAAAGAUAUUGCACUAUUUAAAGAUCAGCAUUAUGGAUGUUGUGCAAGAGAAGCAGAGAAAUGAGAGCUAAUAUAGAUGUCUCUGGAUAAAAUCCUGCACAAAGUAUGUUAUAUCCUGUUUUGUAAAGUCUGUACUUUUCUUAAGUCACUUCAAUACCAUAUUAAAUAUAAAUAUUACAGUGAAUAGAGUAAGAGAAAUAGGACAGUACGAUUAUUAUGUAAUCAAAUACUAAUAGAUUGUUGGAAAGGUUUAUAUUCAAUACCUCAAAAUGCUUGAACAACCAAUACAUCCAAUUACAUAUGCUCUUGGAAUUAUAAAUCCACAUACUCACAUGUAUAUAGCUAAUACAACUUGUGAUCCAUAUUUCAUUACUUUAACCUUACAUGUAAGACAAUUGUCUGUUUUAUAUGCAGGACCUCGACUGCUCUGUCUACAGAGGUGAUGUAAAAUUUCUACUUGAAUAGCAAUAAAUCAUGUUAAUUCAGCCCUAGUGAAAUGAAACGUGGUAGAGAGGAUGGAAGAAGAAUAGGAAUGAGAAUGGUCAAAACAAAGUAUUGAGCAUAAAAAAUCUGCCCUUUGAAGUUAUGCCCUAAUAUUGGGUUAAGUACCUCCAGCUAUGAAACAAGAACUCAGACCAGCAGGAGUGUUUGUAUAAUUAUAAUAAUCUAUUGAUAGUAAAGCAAGAUAAAGUAAUUUUGUAUGUUUUGAUUUUAAUACAGUGUUUUCUAACCAAUUCAGUGAACACAACUCAAUUAGUUUCAAAAAUGAGGUGAAAAUGGACCACCUGCCAAAGGUUAAUGAGAUAAAAAUGGGUUUCAUUGGAACUACAAGCAGAGCCCACAGUUUGAUUUAAUAAGAAGCCACCUUAUUCAGUUCCUAUUUCCACCACAUUCUGUUCUUAAAAUGAGGCUUAAUGAAAUUGGUUUCACUUAUCAAUGCCUGCAAAAUUAACAUGCUUACCUAAUAUUGACUCAAAACUCAAUCUUCUCUCUUAAACUAUGUUUUCCUAAAAAGAGUGGCUGACCCAUAUAUGCAAGUCCACAUUUUCAAUCCAUCUACUUUCACUAUCAAAGCACUGUCUGGGAAAUGAAUAUGUCCAUUUUUUAAAUAUGUUUCUCUGUAUUUCCAAGGUUUCUAAAUUUGUAUUCUUCAAAAAGCUUUAGAAAUAAAAAAGGAAAUAUGAGGCAUUUUUUUCUUGUGCAAAUCUAAAGCAAAAUUUUAAGAAUUGUCUACUUG